RNAcentral lists this ribosomal RNA (253 nucleotides) under uncultured bacterium. Its description in RNAcentral is "partial 16S ribosomal RNA". It matches the Rfam family "Bacterial small subunit ribosomal RNA", at positions 524 to 776 of the family's 1533-position model. The record is from RNAcentral.
UACAGAGGGUGCAAGCGUUAAUCGGAAUUACUGGGCGUAAAGCGUGCGUAGGCGGGAUGGCAAGUCGGUCGUGAAAUCCUUCGGCUCAACCGAAGAACGUCGGCCGAUACUGCCGUUCUUGAGGGAUGCAGAGGAGAUUGGAAUUCCCGGUGUAGCGGUGAAAUGUGUAGAGAUCGGGAGGAACACCGGUGGCGAAGGCGGGUCUCUGGGCAUCUCCUGACGCUGAGGUGCGAAAGCGUGGGGAGCAAACAGG